GUCGAUAUUUAUGAGCUCCAGGUGGUCAAGGAUCUCGUGACAACCGAAUGAGUGGCGCGCAGUUACAUCCAACAGAUGACACGUUUGAUGUCGCAUUUCAGGAGUUUUCGAUACACUCUACAAGCAAAUGUUGGGAAUGGACCGAUUGCGCAUGACUUCAACAGAGCACUAGAAAGGAUGUACAAGGUCCAGUAUGAUACAUCCAGGAAUGUAGUUAUGUGGGUCAAGAUGGCUUU
This 236-nucleotide long non-coding RNA is filed under the name Salmo trutta (river trout). RNAcentral describes it as "lncRNA (ENSSTUG00000017356.1)". Lineage: Eukaryota; Metazoa; Chordata; Actinopteri; Salmoniformes; Salmonidae. The record is from RNAcentral.